RNAcentral lists this transfer RNA (71 nucleotides) under Marmota monax (woodchuck). Its description in RNAcentral is "tRNA.Ala". It matches the Rfam family "tRNA". Rfam says of the family: Transfer RNA (tRNA) molecules are approximately 80 nucleotides in length. Their secondary structure includes four short double-helical elements and three loops (D, anti-codon, and T loops). Lineage: Eukaryota; Metazoa; Chordata; Mammalia; Rodentia; Sciuridae. The record is from RNAcentral.
GGGGUUGUGGCUCAGUGGUAGAGCGCUUGCCUAGCUUGCAUGAGGCACUGGGUUCAAUUCUCAGCACCACA